UAAAAUAUAGGGACUAAAUAGUUAAUUCCAUUAAAAUACAAAGACUAAAUAGUAAUUUUUCCUUCUAAAUAAAAUAAAACAUCCAUAUUUAUGCACGAUUAGUUUCUUUAUUUCCUAGCCAGCUUGAUAGUAUUUAUCAUGUGUAUAUUGUAAUACCUCAAUCCCAAGCUCUCGUAGAAUCCAAAAUUUUCUUUGCAAAAUUACUAGCAAGCGAGGUUAAGCAUAAGUCUCACAAGCAUAGGAGUAAGAUAGAUGUUGCAUGGGGCAAGCAAAGCAAAUGGCUAGCAUGGUUGAGCAUAAGAGCACCUACGGGCCAAUUGGGUGAGCAAUUACGACAGAAUCAGUUACAACUCUCCGAAAUGGCCUAGAAUAUGCCAACACCUAAGAGACUUGUGUGGAAAGUCCUAGAAUUGUCUAGCUUUCUCUCUACACCUUCAAGGUAGUUUCCAUGAAUAUGACUUUGAGUAGCCAUUAAGAAAUUGAAGCUUCUAGGAAGAGGCCUUUGAAUAGCCCGUAAAGAAUUGAAGCUUUUAAGAAGACGACUUUGAAUAGCCUCUAAGGAACUCUAGAAUUCCUCAUGCAAGUUGUCAUGAAAAUAUCUAGUUAAAGAGGUGCACAACUUCCGAAGAGGCUUCAUCCAAGCCAUCCAAACUAUGGAGAUGAAAGAGAUCGAAUCCUUGCCUUCCAUUUUGGAGGUGCAUUCUCCACCACAUGUUGAGGAGGAUGGGAGAAGCCUAUAAAUAGGGAUUUAGGUGUCUUCUGAUCUGGAGCUCGUGCAGACACUGACGAGGCCUCAGCUUCAGCUUUCAUGGGCUUCCCUUCUCCCAUAACACACUCUUUGAACUUAGCCACGAUAGCCCAGAAAAUAAUAUAACAAGAACAACAAUAGGAAAGUUCCUAGAAGCCAAUUGAAAAACAGGGAAACGAAGGAGAAGAAAGAAAGAAAGAAACAGUCGUAAGCGUCUGCAGAAAGUCUUGGUUGUGGUAGUUAGAAACGGAAGUUGGGAAUGGACAAAACAAGAUGUGGGCUCCUCAGGGGGCAAAAUCUACAGGCUAUAGCAGAAUACUUCCAUGCGUGAACGGGCUGGCUCUAUGAGGAAUAUUUUAUUUUUUUUGUUCUUUUAUUUCAUAGAACCAGCAGUUUCACCCAUGGAAAAUAUAAUUCUAAUUCCUCUAAAUAAUAAUGAUGAAGAUGAGAAGAAUUAAAGAGUGAUUUAGUUGUUU
This is a long non-coding RNA of Hevea brasiliensis (rubber tree), 1224 nucleotides long. RefSeq lists it as uncharacterized. The record is from RefSeq and is a predicted model, not a curated record. The transcript has 2 exons. Lineage: Eukaryota; Viridiplantae; Streptophyta; Magnoliopsida; Malpighiales; Euphorbiaceae.